UGCAACGCUUCCCUCACACCCAAGAGGGAGGAAGAGAGGGAAAGCGCAACACCUAGAAAUGAAUCUUUAAAGAGGGAGUAUCCCUAAAUAGAGCAAAAUAAUAAAUGGAUGCUGCUGUGCUUUCUUACAAAACAAAACUCACAGUGGAACUUUCUUUUUGUAGAUGAGCUAUUAUUAAAGGGAUUGAUUCUGGAGAAAUUCCACAAAUUGCUAAAUUCCCUUUAAAAAAUAAAAUCCACGUCGUUCAAACCACUGCAACAAAUCUGCAGCUGAAACAGCUGCAAAGACAAAGCCCCACUGUCACUUGGUAGUAACACUACCCUGGUCCGUGCUACACCACCUCACAGACUUGGCAAUCCAAACAUCUGUUCUAAGGCACACUUGUAGUACUGCCUCUACUCACAUUCCUUCCUUCCACAGACUUGACAGAUGGUUGAAUUCCUAAUGGCCCCAGGCUACAUUCACAGGGUUGCACCAGCUACCUCCUUCUUAGCAAACACUGCUUUCCCCUCCAGGUUGCAAAACUGAGAUACCAGUAGAGGGAUGUACAGUGACAUAAAUUGGGGAUCUAGGCUCAAACCCCCAACUUUUCCCGCUGGCAGGAACACCACACGGUGGUGUCUGCAUCCUGCCACGCUCAUAUUCUAUGAGUGACAAUAGGCAAUGAAGCACAAUGGAAAAGAGAAAGCUAUGCCCACAGGGUCCUUCCCAAUGGUGGCCAGGUGUUUUGUUUGAACCACCUUGUGGCUGAUGGAGAUGGAAUUGCAAGCUCCCUGGAAGACUGCCUGCCAUCCUGUUAGGAUCGUUGCCGAUCGAUCAUCACCGAGGUUCUUAUGUCUUCGGAACGCAAUGAAAAAUAAGUCUCGUAAAGGAAGGUGGUAUAAACUGGGAAAUGCAGGCUACUUUGUCAGAAUCACGUGGAUGGAUGUGUUCUGCUAGGGGGCUUCCAUGUCACUCUAUAACAAGAAGGAAAAGAGAUGAAACUCCUAACAACAACAACAAAAAAAACCCAUGAAAACUGCUGCCAGAGAAAAGAAUUUUUACCACCAUGUCAUGCAGACUGGGGUCUCCACUUACAGAUGGUGAUUAACAUAGACUAGUGACUAAACUGUGUUGACAUAUACAGACCAGAAGUCUCUAUGUCCUUCUGUGGACUCUAUUUGGUCUUCUUUCCUCAUGCUCUUUUCUUACGCUCUCAUUUUCCAGUUUUGCUUUCUGCUCUAAGUUGGCAUAAGAGUCAGGUUUUUAAGGGUGUCAGGUUGUGAGUGUGAAAAACGAUUCCCUUCUAACUUAUUUUUGUGUCUAAAAUGUAAUGUAGAAUGAUGUAGGUGCAUGUCACCUUUGAAAGAGGCUGUGAAGAAUAUUCUUCUAGUGAAGCAUCUACUUCCUGUAGCUUUGUGGCCUCUGAUAUGACAAUAGAAAGUGAUCCAUUUCUAUUUUCAUUAAAAUUUAUUCACAGUCUUGGCAUGUCCCUUUUUGUAAUCUGCCAAUAUCCUUGUCUUUUCCACUAUCACAACCACUGACAAAACAUUUAUUUCUUAAAAGGUUGCAUGCUGUUCAGUUUACAGGUUCUCUAAUAAUGAAUUUGUUCUCUACACCAUCUUUUCCCCCUCUUGCCAGCUGCUGUUGUGUCUCAUAUUUGGCUCUUCAUACGUAUCCCCAAUUCUAACAUUUCAUUUGCUUUCUUCCCUCUCUUCUUUCCUCACUAAUUCUCUGGAGGAGAUGAGAUUCUAUCACUGUUAUUGCUAUUUUCUUUUUUCUUCUAAAGACUGGAAGAGUGAGUGGAGCUGAAAUAUACGGAAAGUGACGACCAGUUCUAUAAAUAUCAAGAGGGGUUCUGCUGCUCAGGAAGGCUGCGCUCUGCUGGUCCUUUAUUGGCAUCCAUCCUAUCCGUUGCUGCAUCAUGGGCCACAGAGUGUCUGUGUGAAGACGGUUUUCACCACAGCACAAAAGCACCAUCUUACGAUCACAUUUUUGCAAUCUGAUGGAGGAUUUGAGUGGCACAAGAGUCAAUAACUGCCAGAGGCAAGUGCAGUAAACCUAGAGAAAUAAAUCAAAAGGAAAAGAAGGGUCGUGGGGGAGUGACUUGAAUCAUAUGCAUUAAGAUUGGCAACAUUUCUUAGUUCCUCUUGGUAGGAUUCUCAGUCUUUGUCUGAGAAAGACAGUGCUUACGGCCUUCCCCCCGGAAUUCAUAUUCUGCUAUUGUCUGCACAGGUCAAGGUGAAAGUCAGCGUUGAAAGAACCAGCUAUAAAUCUAAUAAGGGGCAAAGAAACAGACGGUUUUUAUGGAAAACACAGGCAGACUAUAUAACAAUGACAAGACUAACCGUGUUUACUGAGCACUGGCUAGGAAAAGUUGGACAGCAUUGAUUUCAAAGGGUUUUUAAAGCUGUGGAUCACGACCCAUUAUUGGGACUAGAAUUAAUUUGGGGAGUUACAACUAGUUUUCUCAAGAAUGGAACAUGGAAUACAAUGGAAUAGAAGUAGCCCAAUGCUUGUCUCCCUGGUAAAAAAAUGGAAGAUGCACCCAUGGAGUGAGCAGCCUGGGAACUCCUGAGAACUCCCUUUACAGUCACCAUUGCAAAGCCUCUCACAUGUGACAGAGGAUGAGAGAUAGGUUCCAGCUCCUGCACCUGCCUCAGCAGGCAACUUUGGAUGACAAAUAGUGGCAAACACACAUCUUCAGCCCUGCAAUCACUUAAGAGGAAUUCCUUCCCUCUUCUCUGCCACUUGAAGCAGCCCAUCUGGAAGCAGCCCACCAAAGCAUAAGCAGGGCUCACUGGAAUGGCUAGCUCAUUCUUACUCCUCCUAUGGCUUUGUUUUUGUUUUUCAUGGUAGAAACAUUAAGGAGCUGACGAGUUUUGACUACUGACCACUGGACUCUACUUGCCCAUUAACUAGAUUAUGCACCACUCCUGACUUAGUGCUUUGAAUUUAGCAUACACAGAACGACUUCCCUUGGGGAAGGGUGACUGGGACAGGAUGGGUUCUGGGGGACUCCCUCAUGAGGAUCUCUGAAUUCCCAUCACUUGAAGGUCUAGAGAGCCUGAUCUUCCACCAGUCCCAAGGCUACUUCCAAUUCCUGUCCCUGGAGUGUGUGAUGCUUUGAGAAAAAAGUGUUAAAGCAUUUUAUAGCAAAGAAAUGGCCUUUUGCACAGUUAAUAGCAGUUUCAGUCCCUAGAUAUAAAGCCAUCAUAUUAUUUGAGUUUGCCACCCUUCGUUUUG
This is a non-coding RNA of Kogia breviceps (pygmy sperm whale), 3225 nucleotides long. NCBI's taxonomy places the organism in Eukaryota, Metazoa, Chordata, Mammalia, Artiodactyla, Physeteridae. The record is from RefSeq and is a predicted model, not a curated record.